Molecule: ribosomal RNA, 539 nt
Filed under: Pediococcus pentosaceus
Lineage: Bacteria; Bacillati; Bacillota; Bacilli; Lactobacillales; Lactobacillaceae
Description: bacterial SSU rRNA
Rfam family: Bacterial small subunit ribosomal RNA
Source: RNAcentral
AUUGAUUAUGACGUACUUGUACUGAUUGAGAUUUUAACACGAAGUGAGUGGCGAACGGGUGAGUAACACGUGGGUAACCUGCCCAGAAGUAGGGGAUAACACCUGGAAACAGAUGCUAAUACCGUAUAACAGAGAAAACCGCAUGGUUUUCUUUUAAAAGAUGGCUCUGCUAUCACUUCUGGAUGGACCCGCGGCGUAUUAGCUAGUUGGUGAGGUAAAGGCUCACCAAGGCAGUGAUACGUAGCCGACCUGAGAGGGUAAUCGGCCACAUUGGGACUGAGACACGGCCCAGACUCCUACGGGAGGCAGCAGUAGGGAAUCUUCCACAAUGGACGCAAGUCUGAUGGAGCAACGCCGCGUGAGUGAAGAAGGGUUUCGGCUCGUAAAGCUCUGUUGUUAAAGAAGAACGUGGGUAAGAGUAACUGUUUACCCAGUGACGGUAUUUAACCAGAAAGCCACGGCUAACUACGUGCCAGCAGCCGCGGUAAUACGUAGGUGGCAAGCGUUAUCCGGAUUUAUUGGGCGUAAAGCGAGCGCAG